Molecule: ribosomal RNA, 254 nt
Filed under: uncultured bacterium
Lineage: Bacteria
Description: partial 16S ribosomal RNA
Rfam family: Bacterial small subunit ribosomal RNA
Source: RNAcentral
UACGUAGGGGCCUAGCGUUGUCCGGAUUUAUUGGGCGUAAAGAGCUCGUAGGCGGUUCGGUAAGUCAGGUGUGAAAUCUCCACGCUCAACGUGGAGGCGCCACCUGAAACUGCCGUGACUAGAGUCCGGUAGGGGAGUGUGGAAUUCCCGGUGUAGCGGUGAAAUGCGCAGAUAUCGGGAAGAACACCCGUGGCGAAGGCGGCUCUCUGGGACGGUACUGACGCUGAGACGCGAAAGCGUGGGGAGCGAACAGG